This 29-nucleotide small RNA is filed under the name Bombyx mori (domestic silkworm). RNAcentral's name for it is "ovarian small RNA-23228". Lineage: Eukaryota; Metazoa; Arthropoda; Insecta; Lepidoptera; Bombycidae. The record is from RNAcentral.
UAGUUUGGCGCUCACCCGCUAAGGGCUCC